GACGAACCGUGCGAACGUUGUUCGGAAUCACUGGGCUUAAAGGGCGCGUAGGCGGGCGAGCAAGUUCGGGGUGAAAUCUUUCGGCUCAACCGGAAAAGGGCCUCGGAGACUGCUCGUCUGGAGGGAGGUAGGGGCAGGUGGAACUGCUGGUGGAGCGGUGAAAUGCGUUGAUAUCAGGAGGAACACCGGUGGCGAAGGCGGGACUCUGGGCCGAUACUGACGCUGAGGAGCGAAAGCGUGGGGAGCAAACAGG
This 253-nucleotide ribosomal RNA is filed under the name uncultured bacterium. RNAcentral describes it as "partial 16S ribosomal RNA". It matches the Rfam family "Bacterial small subunit ribosomal RNA", at positions 524 to 776 of the family's 1533-position model. The record is from RNAcentral.